RNAcentral lists this unclassified non-coding RNA (240 nucleotides) under plant metagenome. Its description in RNAcentral is "partial contains small subunit ribosomal RNA, internal transcribed spacer 1, and 5.8S ribosomal RNA". The record is from RNAcentral.
UUUCCGUAGGUGAACCUGCGGAAGGAUCAUUACUGAGUUAGGGUCUUUAUGGCCCGACCUCCAACCCUUUGUUUAAUCUACCAUGUUGCUUUGGCAGGCCCGCUUAGAAAUGGGCCGCCGAAGACCUUUGAGUCUCUGGUCAGUGCCUGCCAGUAGCCUUUCUAAAUUCAUUUAUAACCGUGUCUGAAUAUACAAAGAAAAAUUAAAAUAAAACUUUCAACAACGGAUCUCUUGGUUCUG